Molecule: ribosomal RNA, 430 nt
Filed under: uncultured bacterium
Lineage: Bacteria
Description: bacterial SSU rRNA
Rfam family: Bacterial small subunit ribosomal RNA
Source: RNAcentral
UCUAGAAGCUUCGGCAAUGGGGGAAACCCUGACCGAGCGACGCCGCGUGCAGGACGAAGGUCUUCGGAUCGUAAACUGCUUUCGCUGGGGGAGAAAUGCCUCGGGGUGAAUAAUUCCGGGGUUAGACGGUACCCAGUAAAGAAGCUCCGGCUAAGUCCGUGCCAGCAGCCGCGGUAAUACGGGCGGAGCGAGCGUUGUUCGGAUUCAUUGGGUGUAAAGGGUGCGAAGGCGGUCGUCUAAGUCGAAGGUGAAAUGUCUACGGCUCAACCGAGGCAUUGCCUCCGAUACUGGACGACUUGAGUGCGGAAGGGGAGCGUGGAAUUCCUGGUGUAGCGGUGAAAUGCGUAGAUAUCAGGAGGAACACCGGUGGCGAAGGCGACGCUCUGGUCCGCAACUGACGCUCAUGCACGAAAGCCAGGGGAGCGAACGG